Molecule: ribosomal RNA, 245 nt
Filed under: uncultured Aquicella sp.
Lineage: Bacteria; Pseudomonadati; Pseudomonadota; Gammaproteobacteria; Legionellales; Coxiellaceae
Description: partial 16S ribosomal RNA
Rfam family: Bacterial small subunit ribosomal RNA
Source: RNAcentral
UACAGAGGGUGCGAGCGUUAAUCGGAUUUACUGGGCGUAAAGGGCGCGUAGGCGGUGAGAUGUGUGUGAUGUGAAAGCCCCGGGCUUAACCUGGGAAGUGCAUCGCAAACUGUCUGACUGGAGUAUAUGAGAGGGUGGCGGAAUUUCCGGUGUAGCGGUGAAAUGCGUAGAUAUCGGAAGGAACGUCGAUGGCGAAGGCAGCCACCUGGCAUAAUACUGACGCUGAGGCGCGAAAGCGUGGGGAU